UACGGAGGAUGCGAGCGUUAUCCGGAUUCAUUGGGUUUAAAGGGUGCGUAGGCGGACUAUUAAGUCAGUGGUGAAAUCCUCCCGCUUAACGGGAGAACUGCCAUUGAUACUGAUAGCCUUGAGUUUGGUUAAGGUAGGCGGAAUGUGUAAUGUAGCGGUGAAAUGCUUAGAUAUUACACAGAACACCAAUUGCGUAGGCAGCUUACUGGACCGACACUGACGCUGAGGCACGAAAGCGUGGGGAUCGAACAGGAUUAGAUACCCUGGUAGUCCACGCCGUAAACGAUGAUUACUCGCUGUUGGCGAUACACAGUCAGCGGCUAAGCAAAAGCAAUAAGUAAUCCACCUGGGGAGUACGGCCGCAAGGUUGAG
RNAcentral lists this ribosomal RNA (372 nucleotides) under uncultured bacterium. RNAcentral describes it as "bacterial SSU rRNA". It matches the Rfam family "Bacterial small subunit ribosomal RNA", at positions 524 to 898 of the family's 1533-position model. The record is from RNAcentral.